UACGUAGGGUGCAAGCGUUAAUCGGAAUUACUGGGCGUAAAGCGUGCGCAGGCGGUUAUGCAAGACCGAUGUGAAAUCCCCGGGCUUAACCUGGGAAUUGCAUUAGUGACUGCAUGGCUAGAGUGUGUCAGAGGGGGGUAGAAUUCCACGUGUAGCAGUGAAAUGCGUAGAGAUGUGGAGGAAUACCGAUGGCGAAGGCAGCCCCCUGGGAUAACACUGACGCUCAUGCACGAAAGCGUGGGGAGCAAACAGG
Molecule: ribosomal RNA, 253 nt
Filed under: uncultured bacterium
Lineage: Bacteria
Description: partial 16S ribosomal RNA
Rfam family: Bacterial small subunit ribosomal RNA
Source: RNAcentral